Danio rerio (zebrafish) is the source of this 315-nucleotide non-coding RNA. The record is from Ensembl. NCBI's taxonomy places the organism in Eukaryota, Metazoa, Chordata, Actinopteri, Cypriniformes, Danionidae.
AUGGCGAUGUCUGGGAUGGACGGCUCGGUGGAGGACCAGAGUUUCCUGCGCUUCAGCCCUACAGUGUCCGUGUCCACCGGAGUGGCCGCUGCCUCCUACGGACGGACUGCUAAUGUUUACGUCUACAUCUCCAUCUUCCUCAGCCUGCUUCUGUUCCUGCUCACCCUCCUCAUCAUCGCUCUCCACCGGCUGAAGAACAUCAUCUCCUCCAGCUCCUCCUACCCAGAAUGCAGCAGCGACGCCGGCAGCUCCUUCACCAACAUGGAGAUCUGCAGCAUUUCCUCACAGAGAUCCACCGUGUCCUCGCUGUCCUGA